Molecule: long non-coding RNA, 227 nt
Filed under: Lathyrus oleraceus (garden pea)
Lineage: Eukaryota; Viridiplantae; Streptophyta; Magnoliopsida; Fabales; Fabaceae
Description: Pisum sativum (pea) long non-coding RNA (PSAT_LNC040472)
Source: RNAcentral
UUAAGGGAAAAGGAAGAAGUGGGGAUUGAAAGAGGGUAGUGGAAAUCAAGGUGACCAAGAGGAAAGAGGAGUCACCAUUGAGCAACUAAUAGAUAAAAACUUUCCUUGGAGAAUAACAAAGAAGAGGAUCCUGAAUGAUCCAAAUCCAGAACUACCAGAUUGCAUCAAACCGUCGUAUCCCAUAAUUAAGAAGAAACUGGUUCAGGACGAUGAGGCAGAGAUUUUCC